RNAcentral lists this ribosomal RNA (779 nucleotides) under uncultured bacterium. RNAcentral's name for it is "bacterial SSU rRNA". It matches the Rfam family "Bacterial small subunit ribosomal RNA", at positions 28 to 807 of the family's 1533-position model. The record is from RNAcentral.
GAUGAACGCUGGCGGCGUGCUUACCACAUGCAAGUCGAACGAAGCACUUAUCUUUGAUUCUUCGGAUGAAGAGGUUUGUGACUGAGUGGCGGACGGGUGAGUAACGCGUGGGUAACCUGCCUCAUACAGGGGGAUAACAGUUAGAAAUGACUGCUAAUACCGCAUAAGACCACGGAGCCGCAUGGCUCAGUGGGAAAAACUCCGGUGGUAUGAGAUGGACCCGCGUCUGAUUAGGUAGUUGGUGGGGUAACGGCCUACCAAGCCAACGAUCAGUAGCCGACCUGAGAGGGUGACCGGCCACAUUGGGACUGAGACACGGCCCAAACUCCUACGGGAGGCAGCAGUGGGGAAUAUUGCACAAUGGGGGGAACCCUGAUGCAGCGACGCCGCGUGAGCGAAGAAGUAUUUCGGUAUGUAAAGCUCUAUCAGCAGGGAAGAAAAUGACGGCACCUGACUAAGAAGCACCGGCUAAAUACGUGCCAGCAGCCGCGGUAAUACGUAUGGUGCAAGCGUUAUCCGGAUUUACUGGGUGUAAAGGGAGCGUAGACGGCUGUGUAAGUCUGAAGUGAAAGCCCGGGGCUCAACCCCGGGACUGCUUUGGAAACUAUGCAGCUAGAGUGUCGGAGAGGUAAGUGGAAUUCCCAGUGUAGCGGUGAAAUGCGUAGAUAUUGGGAGGAACACCAGUGGCGAAGGCGGCUUACUGGACGAUGACUGACGUUGAGGCUCGAAAGCGUGGGGAGCAAACAGGAUUAGAUACCCUGGUAGUCCACGCCGUAAAC